GGGAAAUUAGUCUAAAAUAAGACCUCUGAUUUCGGCUCAGAGAACCGUGGUUAGAGUCCACGAUCCCCUU
Molecule: transfer RNA, 70 nt
Filed under: Formosania fasciolata
Lineage: Eukaryota; Metazoa; Chordata; Actinopteri; Cypriniformes; Gastromyzontidae
Description: tRNA-Arg
Rfam family: tRNA
About the family: Transfer RNA (tRNA) molecules are approximately 80 nucleotides in length. Their secondary structure includes four short double-helical elements and three loops (D, anti-codon, and T loops). Further hydrogen bonds mediate the characteristic L-shaped molecular structure. tRNAs have two regions of fundamental functional importance: the anti-codon, which is responsible for specific mRNA codon recognition, and the 3' end, to which the tRNAs corresponding amino acid is attached (by aminoacyl-tRNA synthetases). tRNAs cope with the degeneracy of the genetic code in two manners: having more than one tRNA (with a specific anti-codon) for a particular amino acid; and 'wobble' base-pairing, i.e. permitting non-standard base-pairing at the 3rd anti-codon position.
Source: RNAcentral